This is a non-coding RNA of Acanthosepion pharaonis, 112 nucleotides long. The record is from the annotation of a GenBank genome assembly. NCBI's taxonomy places the organism in Eukaryota, Metazoa, Mollusca, Cephalopoda, Sepiida, Sepiidae.
UUACGGCCAUAUCACGUUGAAAUAAUGAUUUCCGUACGAUCACCGAAGUUAAGCAACAUUGGGACUGCUCAGUACCUAGAUGGGUCCCCGCUUGGGAGAGCCGGGAGCUAUA